UGAAUUAUAUUUUUAUUUUGUAGCUUAUAGAUUUUAAGCCACAGAUUAGUUUCAAGAUCAUAAAAGAACUUGAUAUAUUUUCUUCUAGUACAUUUCUGAUUCAUUGGCAUUUCUCCUGGUAUGUGGUAUGAAGACAAUUUGAUUUUUUCCCCAGAUGACUCAGCUUCAUUUAUUUAAAAGUUUAUCUUCCUGCCAAAGACUUGAGAUUUUAUCUUUAUUGUACAUCAAAUUUGCACGUGUUUAGAUCUAUUUUUGUACUUCCUGUUCUGUUCUAUUGAUCUGACCACAUCAUACUAUAUCACUGCUUUAAUUAUUGGGGCUUUAGUGGAAGUUUUAAUUUCUGGUCUACUAUAAUUCUCUGAUUUCAGAGUUUUUAUGUCUACCUACCAUACUUUGAAUACUUGUGGGAAUAUUUUGUACUUAUAAAAUAAAAAAAAAUAAGCUUAGAGAAUUUCUUAUUUUGUGGUUAUUUAAAUUCAUAUAGUUUUCCAUUUAUUCCCUAAGUACUCACUGAGCACCUACUGUAUGCUUAGCACAUUUGUGUGGAUUUGAGAACAUCAGCAAAGAGAAAAAAACUUCGGCUUUCUUGUACCUUUGUAGUCACACACAUUCAUCCUUAGUCUUUCAAGAUAAAGUUCUAUGUGAUUUAGUCUUCACAUCAUCUGAGAUUGCAUUGGUACAGAGCAUCAUUUUUGCCUUCUCAAUAUUUUGUAAGGAAAAAAAAAUCUCCAAAACUCUGUGUAACAAUAUUUAUAAUAAAUUAUCUUGCAACCAGAAUAGUCAAGAAUAUGCAGAGUAGGAAGAAAUAAGAGUAUGCAGAAGAAAAGCAUUAUACCCAAGCAAUUUCUUGGUUUUCCAUGUACAUUCUUUGAAAUUAAGUGUCUAUUUAGGAUCAUCAAUUUCCAGUACUGUGACUACAGGGCAUUUAAGCAGUUGACAAAACCAAGAAAUGAUUGUUCCUGCACUAUGUUAAGUUUCAAAAUGUUGACUUUAGACUGCUAAUAGCAAUAAAACUAUAUUUUUUUGGUUAAAAUUUAAGAUUUAUAUCAAUUCCCACAAGAUAAGAUGGGAUAUUCAGUAUCAACCUCAUCUAUGGCUGAAUAUUAACUGCCUAACAUUUGCAUGCAUCAGCAAAUUGGUUCUCAAGUUUUGCAUCUGCCUACAAUCAUCUGAAAGGCUUGCUAAACCAUAGAUUGCUGGGUUCUACCCUAGGACUGAUGGUUGAGAAAGUUGGGAAUGGGGUACAAGAAUUUCCAUCUUUAAGGGGUACAGGAGGUUGAUCAGGAGCACUUGACCACUGAGCCACUAUUUUGUAUUUUAUUAAAAAACAGGGUAUCACUGAGUUGCUUAGGACCUUGCUUUCUUUUUGCUGAGGCUGGCUUUUGACUCGCGAUCUUCCUUUGUCUAAGCCUCCUGAUCUGCUGGGAUUACAGGUAAGUACCACCACAAUGGGCUAAAGAAUUUCCAUUACUGACAUGUUCUAAGAUGAUAUUAAUAUUGCUGAUGUGGGUUCACUCUUUGAGGACCAUUGAUAUAUACUAUAAAAAUGAUUUAGCAUUUUACUUCUUCACUUUUAUUUUAUUGGAAGCAGAUACAAUUCAAUUUCAGGUUAGUAUAUAGAGACUAGAAAAAAUAUGUGGCACAUUUAGCAUACUUAAUGAAAAAUGAUUGACAUAAUGCAUAAAGAGUUUUAAUAAGCAGUGUUACCACCACAGGCUCAGUUCACUUGCUACAUAACUAAAGUCAAUUAGUUGAACAAUGCAGUGGCGUUAUUAUGAAGACCUAAUUGAUGAGAAGAUGGAGGACCAUCAUCCUAAAUGGUAAGUGUUGCCAGAAAGCUGAUUUAGGGAUGGUUUCUAUAGGAGAUGGAUGAUGGCAGACUGUGGGUGGAGGUUUGUGGCUAAUUGAAGUACAAUAGAUCCUAAUAAGGUCAUGAGAUGCUUUUCAGUUCUGCAAACUUCAAGAACAAAGGUAAUUAUUUCCUUAGGUACUCUUGUCACUGAUUAAUUUGCCUAUGUUCAAUUCCUGACAUAUUAAACAAUGGACAGGCUAGAGGAGGCAGCUGCCCCAAGGCAACACUUCUCUGGAUUAUUGGGGAAGACAAGGGUCAGGUGAGUCUUAACACAGAGUUUUGCUCAAGAUCUAAUCUCCAUGAUUGGCUUCAAUAGUACUAUUUGGAUUGUAAAAACUUUUCAGAUUCUGUGUUUGUGAGCUACUUUUUCCCCCUCUGAUAGCCACCACUUAUUUUCUGGGAAACGAAAAAUUUGAAAGUUAGUGAUAACUUUAAUGUAAAAUCUGAAGCACCUAUGCAGGAUAUUUUAACUUACUUUAUUGGUCACUAGUCAAUACCAGAGAUAUUUUUAAAUUAAUAUUUUACUUAUAGAGCAAGAGAAAUAAAUUCUUAGUGUGUGGGUUUGCAUGUACUGUCAAAAAUAUCUCAGCUAAGAUUCCAGAUAGUCAUUAUCAAUUAUACCAUUGCCUUAAAUUGAGUGCAGUUCUCUAAAUUGGUACCAAUAACCACACCCUUCAAAAGGAAAAUCACACAAAUAAUAAAAGAACCCCCAAACCCUAGCAUGUAUGUGUUUAUAUGUAUAUACACGUAUAUAUAUAUACAUAUAUUUAUGUG
This 2626-nucleotide long non-coding RNA is filed under the name Marmota monax (woodchuck). The record is from RNAcentral. Lineage: Eukaryota; Metazoa; Chordata; Mammalia; Rodentia; Sciuridae.